This 516-nucleotide long non-coding RNA is filed under the name Capsicum annuum. RNAcentral's name for it is "long non-coding RNA (CANN_LNC017941)". Lineage: Eukaryota; Viridiplantae; Streptophyta; Magnoliopsida; Solanales; Solanaceae. The record is from RNAcentral.
CUCAGUUCUCAACAAACCCUUCCUUCACUCAAAAUCCAAACCCAGCAGUUCUAGAUAUCCCACCCCUUCAAAUCUUAGAUUCAGCGGACACUGAUGAUAUUUCCAUUGUAAAUAUAAUCCCUCGAUGAUCCAGAUCUCAGUCCACAAAGAAACGUUCCCCAGUUCCUAUUGUUGUUGAAGAAUUGGACCUACCUGAUGAACCACAUUCACUUUCUAUUUCACCUAGAACUCCUUACACUCGUAACAAAGAACACCAAGAGGAGGUUUCUAUGCCUGAGGCACUUCGAGCUAGCAAAAGGACACGCUCGAUUCCACCUGUUCCUAAAUCUUCUUCCUUUCUCCAAGAUGUGCUAUUCUUCUUUGUAAGGAAGGGAAAAACAAAACAUUGUAUUCCUAAACCCUCUGUCUUUCAACCUCCUCAUUUCUUUCACAAGUCUAAAGAAAAUACAACACCAUCACCCCCAUCCAAACCCUCCAAGUCAAAACCUUUAUCUAGCUCUAGGAAAUGCAUUCCCA